GGGUAGUUGGUUUAGUAGUAUAAUUCUUGCUUAGGGUGCGAGAGGACUCGAGUUCAAUUCUCAGAAUGCCCC
This 72-nucleotide transfer RNA is filed under the name Ipomoea nil (Japanese morning glory). It matches the Rfam family "tRNA". From Rfam's summary of the family: Transfer RNA (tRNA) molecules are approximately 80 nucleotides in length. Their secondary structure includes four short double-helical elements and three loops (D, anti-codon, and T loops). The record is from Rfam by way of RNAcentral. Lineage: Eukaryota; Viridiplantae; Streptophyta; Magnoliopsida; Solanales; Convolvulaceae.